AGUGAACGCUGGCGGUAGGCCUAACACAUGCAAGUCGAACGGCAGCACAGUAAGAGCUUGCUCUUACGGGUGGCGAGUGGCGGACGGGUGAGGAAUACAUCGGAAUCUACUUUUUCGUGGGGGAUAACGUAGGGAAACUUACGCUAAUACCGCAUACGACCUACGGGUGAAAGCAGGGGAUCUUCGGACCUUGCGCGAUUGAAUGAGCCGAUGUCGGAUUAGCUAGUUGGCGGGGUAAAGGCCCACCAAGGCGACGAUCCGUAGCUGGUCUGAGAGGAUGAUCCGCCACACUGGAACUGAGACACGGUCCAGACUCCUACGGGAGGCAGCAGUGGGGAAUAUUGGACAAUGGGCGCAAGCCUGAUCCAGCCAUACCGCGUGGGUGAAGAAGGCCUUCGGGUUGUAAAGCCCUUUUGUUGGGAAAGAAAAGCAGCAGGUUAAUACCCCGCUGUUCUGACGGGACCCAAAGAAUAAGCACCGGCGAACUUCGU
RNAcentral lists this ribosomal RNA (491 nucleotides) under uncultured bacterium. RNAcentral's name for it is "partial 16S ribosomal RNA". It matches the Rfam family "Bacterial small subunit ribosomal RNA", at positions 29 to 506 of the family's 1533-position model. The record is from RNAcentral.